This 7633-nucleotide long non-coding RNA is filed under the name Panax ginseng (ginseng). RNAcentral describes it as "long non-coding RNA (PGIN_LNC016722)". The record is from RNAcentral. Lineage: Eukaryota; Viridiplantae; Streptophyta; Magnoliopsida; Apiales; Araliaceae.
UUCAUACCAUUGAUCUUAAAUCCAUCUAGUGGCCAAUAUGAGAUUCUCAAUUUUAUUUCCUUUUAUUUUUCAAGUUUUCUCGUCUAAUUACUACUGUACCUCUCUCUUCCCUGAGUACAACACCACAAGUAUCAUCACCAACAGAUGAAUUUAAUUCAAUGGUUUAAAUUAGGUGUACCUCCUCCGUCUUUGGACAGGAUAACUACGGAAUGUGAAUAUACUGAUCAAUCUAGCUAGCAAAUCCUAUCUUCAUAAAUAAAAGGGGAAAACUAUACGAAUUCCAUAUUCGAUUUAUGUUAGUCUUUUAUUUGGAAUUAUUCCAAGUCUAACCCACGAUAAUGUUUGACAGGGCUGCUAAGCUGGGAACAAAGUUGGAAUGGAUGAAGGAUUCAGUGAAAACUAUAAUGGGUCCGAUUCCAGCCAUCAAAUUUGAUAAGGAAAGGCAACGCAAGAUUUGGUUUAAUAGCAUGGUGGCUUCUUACACAGGAUGGGAAUAUGCUCAAAAUGAUCCAGUGAAGGCGGCGGUCACAUUUGGAGAUGGUAACCCGUUGCCUGCUCGUAUCAUCUAUGACUGUCUGAAAAUCCUUGACGAGGAAAGUGUUGCCAUUCCUUGGCAGAAGGGUGAUGUUCUACUACUGGAUAAUUUGGCCUAUCUUCACUCCAGGCGACCAUCCAACCCACCCCGCCGUGUACUAGCUUCACUUUGCAAGUGAAAAAAUGUAGAGCUUCCUCUUAUGGGCACUUGUUAGUUCCUUACUUGAUUGUAUGAUGAACCAUUACUCUAUACCUACAAAACAAAAAAGUAAAUGUUGUUGUAAUAUUUCGAAUCCUUAUACGACUGACUUGUAAUGUAUGAUUAAUAAAUGAUGUUUUUGUGAUUGAAAUUAUGUGUUAUGUGAUUGAAUGUGUGUGGUUUCAUUAUAAGUAUAGAAAAUUUAUAAAACUUUAACUAGGAAUUCACUAUUCAUAAAAACGUUAAAUCACUAUUUAUAAAAACGUAAAGUCAACAAUUUCAGCUAACUAGAUUAGUUAGGAAAGCUAACUAUUGAGCAAACUAGCUGCUAACUAGAUGGUAAACCAAGUUUAGAGUAACCAAACUAAGUGUGAUCCGAUUAGGGUGUAGAAAAAGUAGGGAUAUUUUGGUAAUUAUGAAAGUAUGUAAUACUUACAAACUUGUAAGUACGGAUUAGUCACCGAAUUGAGUUUUGCUAGCUCUUGGUGUGUUGUCAAGCAAUGAAAUGAGAGAUCUGACUUAUUAGUUAUUUAACUUAGUGUUGUCAAGCAUAAAUUAUGAGAUGUGGCUUUUGGGUUGCAAGUGCCAAGCUUGGUAGGCCAUUGGCCUUGUCGGUCACUUGUGAGUGGCUUAGCUUUUGACCUUGUUGUUCAUUUGUUAGAGGUUGAACUAGAUGGCCUUGUUUGUCACUUUGAUCAUUAUACCCCAAGUCUUGGUUGCUUAUAAAUAAUAUCUUCAUGUCAUGCUAAUAACUUUCAUUAAAUUAUAAAGCAAUUAUAAGAGAGAGCAUAGUAAGAUCACAUGUAUUUGAGAUGUAGAAAAUCAAGUUUUGCUUAGUCAAGAUAAUUGUAAAGCUUGCAACUUCAAGAGGUUAUCCGAAAGACAAAAAAUUAGCGUAAACAUAGAAGAAGCUAUCAGGCAAAUUUUCUAACUCAUUCAAUUUAUGUACUUGCGCAAAGUGCAACAAUGUAUUUUAAACUGUUGAAUUUUAUUUAAUUUUUUCUUUGAAUUAUGAAGUUAAUAUAUUGUGAAAUGAUUUAUUGAAAAAAGUUAUUUGUCAUUUGAUUCGGCUUAACUCGAGUAUUGAGUUAUUCCCUUCAGAAUAAUUAUUGAUGAGAUAUUGAAUUGUUAUAAUUAUUUAUUUGAGUUGAAUUUAUUGUGUCAAACCAAAUUAUUUUGGGACGGAAGUUGUAGGUUAGUAACUGAAAUGAACAAUCCUUAUUCAUGAGGAAUUUAUGAUGUGUCGAGUAACCAACUCCUAUAUUGUUGAAAACGAAAGUUGUCAGUAUAGAAGGUGUUAUACAUAAUGUGAUAGUAUUAGGUUGAUCCCUUAUAAUAUCUACAUGGAGUUCUAAGUCUUUGUAACUGAUGAAUGGAGUGUUCUAAGUCUUAUGACUGACGAAUAGUUCAUGGUUUAACAACCCUUAGUUUACUAUUAUGAACAAUUGUUGAUAUCUUUUGUUAAACUAUUCAUCCCUUUGAAUCAAAGAAGUGUGAGUUAAUUCUCUUAUGUAUUAAACUUGUUGAGCUAUCUUAUGCUCAUUCUUGCAAAUAUGUUUCAUAUGCAGUUAAGAAAGUAUUACCAGAAGAGUCUGACAGUAAAACAGAAAAGUUAAAGAAGAUCGAGCAGAUAAUUUGUCUUCUUUAUUUGUAAUAGAACUUGAAGUUAUAAUAAAUUUGGAGAUUUGAUUAAAAGAGUUGGAAAUUAUUAUAAAAAUGUAAAGUGUACUUUCCGUUUAAGCUAGUAGAUGUAGAAGUCAUUUAAUUAUGCUAGAUUAACAGUAUUGACAAUGUCUAAAAAGUUAUGUCGAGAAAAAAAAGUUGUAUAAUUGAGCAUUGCUUUUAACGAAAAACUCCCUAGCUCUUUCCUAGGAACUUACUGGUUGCUAAUAUUGAAAGUUUUGAAUAGAUAAAUAUAAUGGUGAUCAUGAAGUUGAGAAGAAGGGUUUAGUGUUUGAUUGAAGUUAUGAAAUACUUGAGAGAUAGUAGGGUUGGAGGAGUUGCAUAUUUAAUGGAUUAGAAUAAGUUGUAAUUUUUAUGUCUUUGAGAUGUAAUUGAAAAUUGUAAAAUUUACGAUACUGGAAUAAAGAGUAUGAUGUUAAGUUUUUAAUUAAACGAGUUUUUACCAAGUAUAAUAUUAGUGAAUAUUAAGAAAAGAUGUUGCUAUUUAGGGAUGAAAGUAAAUAUAUAAUUAAUGUAAUGUCUGUAAUAGACUAGUUAAACAAAUAGAAUUAUCGAUAAAUUUAUAUCGUCAGCACAAGAUCAGGGGUUGAAAUUGACAUAUGCUCAAUAUGUAUCAAGACUAUCAGUACAUAAACUAACUUGUUUAAUAUGACAUUAAGCAAACUCGGGAAAUUGUUUAUGAGUUGGAGAGAUAUUUUCUUUCAAACCAAUAGUCUUUUUGAAGGCAAUAUUCUUUAAUGAUCUGAAUAGACCUGGCAUAAAUAAAUUAUAAACGAAAAGUGCUCCAGAGAUUUCGGCCACCUGAUUAAAUUAUCAUGAUACUUGUUUAUGAAUUUGGUAUUCGAUCAAAUUACUCAGAUUAGUAUGAAUUCAGGACUAGUAGACUACACAUGAUUACAAACCCAAAAGUAGCAUUAGAAAAGUUGUUCGGACCUUCACGUAUACUAAUUAGAGCGAGCAAAUAUUUUGAAAACUGAGAAAAAGAAGUCAUACUAACUUAUAUACUAUAUACAAAUAUUAUGCCAUGAUAAUUACAGGAAAGAGGUUUAAAACCGAAUUAAGAAGCUUAUAUAUUCAAACAACUUACUACUAUUUAUUAAUGAUAAAAGAAUAAUACUAUAAUAUAUGGCUGUUCCCAGCAAGAGUUGCUUCCCACUCCUCCACUGAAGACAAGAGGAUAUAUAUAUAUAUAUAUAUAUAUAUAUAUAUAUAUAUAUAUAUAUAUAUCAGUGCUUCUUCAUCUCUGGCCGCAAAAUGCAUGCAUUUAAAUCCAUCAGGUUAGGAUCAAUAUAUAUGGUCUUUCAAGCUCGACAUGCAUGCAUGCUCAUGGAGUCGGGUGAUUUCCGAAACCAUUACAAGCACUAGCAGCUAUAUAUAUAUAUAUACAAUAAUCAUUUUAAUUAGAUGUAAAUGUUUUGCUGCAACCAAAAAAGUUGCAGUCCAAAAACUAUCUUGGCAUCUGGAAUCAAUAUAUAGUCAUGAUAAGCCAACAGAUGGACACGCUCGUUAAUAUUAAUUUUUUUUAACUGAAUAAACUCUUUAUUAGCCUUAAAUGUGAUAAUCUUAACAAAUUAAUGCUUCGGGUCUUUUGAAUUUAAUUUAAUAUAUUUUAAAAUUUAAAAUCAUUACAAUUGUGAACUUUUUUAUUUUUUUACAAUUAGUAUUUUUUUAAUAGUUACAAUCUGACAAUAUUUAAUAUUUCAUUACCUCAAAUUUAUAUUAAAUUUAAAUUUAAAUAUUUAUUAAAUUAACCUUUAAAAAUUAAUAAUAAUUUUAUACUUUAAAACGAAAGGUUGAGAGUAAAUUAUAUAAGGAUCGCAGGUAAAAUUAUUACUUUAUACUAUUAAAUAGCAAUAUAUUAUGUAGAUAAUUUAAGAAAUUCUCAAAACUAGUUGAUCAAUUAAUUAAAUAAUUUUAUUAUUAUAAAUAAGAAUUACACAAUUUAUUAUGAUAUUUUUUUCCCUUAAAUUAGAUAUAUAGUAUAUAUGUUAUUAUUGAAUUGAAUAUUAUAAAAAAAAAUGAUAUACAUGUCCAUAAAUAUUUAAUAGAAGACCAAACGUAUAUUUGUCGAAAUUAAAUAGCGACCAAUGUGAAGAAAUAUAUAAUAAAUUAAAAUAAAACUUUUCUUAAUUUAUAUCUAUCGAUUGUAUUGAAAAUUUUGAUAAUAUAUAGCAGAACUCUAUUAAAAUUAUUGGUUUAAUUUAACGGAAAUGCUAGUACAAUUUAUUCUCAUCAGUUAGUUACUAGUAUGCCAUGAGAUGAAAAGGACCUACAGCAAAACCAUAAUUGACAUGGGGGAUAUUCCCCUUUUCUUUCUCGCUGUAUCUGGACGCAUAUACUGUUAAAAGGGAGGGCCAAAUAAAACCUCCUUUCUCAAUUUGAAAGGGGGAGUCUCUAUUUAAAUGUGUAGAUUUAAAGUUAUUAGAUGUAAGAUUUAAAAUUUAUCAAAAGUCACUAAUUUUAAUUAUUUUAUUUAAAAUUUAUUAACCUAAUUCUAGUCAUUUUAUUUAAAAGUUAUUAACCUAAUUCUAGCCAUUAAUAUUAAUAUUAAUAUUAUUAUUAUUAUUAUUAUAAAUUGUUAUAUUAAAAUAAUAAUAAUAAUUUUUAUUUUUAUUAUUAAACAAUUUUAGAAUAAUAAUAAUAAAAGUAUUAUUAUUAUUAUUAUUAAUAAAAAAACCAAUGAGGGACAUAACAAAGUGCUCAUAAUAAUAAUAAUAAUAAUAAUAAUAAUAAUAUUAUUAUUAAUAUUAAUAUUAAUAUUAAUAUUAAUGUUAUAUUAAAUUAAUAACUAGAGUUAAAUUAAUAAUAAUAAUAUUAAUAUUAUAUUAAAUUAAUAACUAGAGUUAAAUUAAUAAUUUUUAAAUAAAGUGAUUAGAAUUAGAUUAAUUAAUUUUAAAUAAGAUAAUUAAAAAUAAAUUAAUUUUUUUUAAAUAAAAUGAUAAUUUUUUGAUCUUACAUCUAAUCACUUUAAAUCUAGACGACUCCCUCUUUCGGAUCCUGAUCCACUUUUCAUAAGAUAUUUAUGCUAGAAGAAGAGAAGAGGAGAGAUGUAUGAGGUAACUGAAUACUACUAAUCCAAUUAAAGCAGACAUGGCAGCUGAACGCUUGUUUACAGAAGUUAGGAUACCUCAACAAAAACCCAUCAACAUUAAUGGACAUGGAGGAGGAGGAAGAGGAGAAGAUAUCUUCUUCCCAACAGUCAUUUCCCCAUAUCCCAAUAUAAACCCUUCUCUCGUCGCACUUACAGAAGCUAUAAAAGCACAACGUAAUGAUGAUAAGCCAUGGACACACCCUCUUCUCCAUCAAACCGGGGCUAUUCUCUUCAGAGGCUUACCCCUCACAUCUGCUUCUGACUUCAACCUCUUUGUUGAAGCCUUUGGCUUUCUUGAAUUGCCCUAUGUUGGUGGCGUCGCCCCUCGGACCAACGUUGUUGGUCGGGUUUUCACUGCAAAUGAGUCCCCUCCUGAACAGAAAAUUCCUUUUCAUCACGAAAUGGCUCAGGUAUUCCUGCUACUUACUUUCUCUCUAACAUCAUCUUUAGAUCAAAUCUAAAUUCACUGGGGUUACUUUUUCUGAUUAGUUCAUUUAAUAUACGCUUUUGAAUGAAAUCUGCAUAGUAUUCUUUAACAAUAAUUCCACUUUCAGUUUAAUCUAUGUCUUGGAAUUUCCUCUGCAUGAUUGGCAGCAGUUUACUGUGUGGGCGUAAUUGAGCGAUGCAAGCUACUAGUAAAUAGUUCCUCUGCCCAUAAACUGAUUAAAAUAACUCUUAAUUUUUUUUACAGAAUUAUGACAUUUAUAGAAUUUGUGUUCAAUUCUACAAUCUUGAACAGAUAUCUUGGUUCUUUAUCGACAAAACAAUUCUAUUUGUGUUAAUCAAUACAAACUUUUUGAUGCACCUGACAAGUCAUUUUAUUGAAACCCUUGUUUCAAUAAGUUGUGACUAAACGAACUUUUGUGUUUAAUAAGCAGAGGUUUGGGUUCUCAAAAUUUAUUUCUUCAAGUGGUACAAGUACCAUUUAUACAUGUCAUGAAAAGUCACUAGCUUUCUGUUACAGGUUCCCGAGUUCCCAUCCAAAUUGUUUUUCUUUUGCGAAGUAGAACCAGGAAGUGGAGGAGAAACUCCUAUAGUUCUUAGCCAUAUCAUUUAUGAGAGGAUGAAGGGGAAGUACCCAGAGUUUGUUGAACAGUUGGAAGAGCAUGGAUUGAUUUACACAAGAGUGCUGGGGGAAGAGGAUGAUCCUUCGUCCCCAAUUGGCCGUGGGUGGAAGUCCACAUUUUUGACCAAAGACAAGAGCAUAGCUGAGGAAAGGUUUGUAGUUUUAACCUUAUUCAGCACUAUAAUUAUUUUGGACAAGAGCAUAGCUGAUAAGGAACUGUCUUUAAUAUGUGGAAAAGAGUAGGGAUCAAGUGGGAUCUCACCCAUUGAUUACUUUGGACCUUCCAGCAAAUUGAAAAUGAUCCACUUCAUUGAGGUUUAGCAUGUUUAUGGUGAUCAUAUAAAGCAAAGAAUGGAAGUGUUGCCUCAGUUUCACAGAACUGUAGCUGCCAGAGUUUGUUUGUCCGGUUCAAAAUUUAGCAUUAAACAAAAAGUGGCCCUUGUUCUUCCGUUGCCAAUUUGUCACCUAUCCCAUUUUCCUUUGUUUAUUAAAUUUUCCUUUGGGUAUGGCUCCUCUGUGGUUACAGGAGGGAGAGGAUAUAGUGAAGGCCUUUAAGUUUUUGUUUUGUUGAAGUCAAAACAAUUUGUACAAGUACAAAGAUGGAUUUCAGCCAGUGAAAUUUUUUUCAUGUUUUUUCUUCUGGGCCUUUUGGACAGGAGGGAACAAUUGACACUUGGUGGCAAAUAGUUUGUUUGCCACCUACUUCAUACCACUGAUCUUUAAUCCAUCUAGUGGCCAAAAUGAGAUUCUCAAUUUUAUUUACUUUUCCUUUUUUUUUUUUUCAAGUUUUUUCGCCUAAUUACUACUGUACCUCUUUCUUCCCUGAGUACAACACAACAAGUAUCAUCGCCAACAGAUGAAUUUAAUUCAAUGGUUUAAAUUUGGUGCACCUCCUCCGUCUUUGGACAGGAUAACAACGGAAUGUGAGUUUACUGGCUAUCAAAUCCUAUCUUCAUUAAUAAAAGGGGAAAACCUAUACGAAUUCCAUAUUCGAUUUAUGUUAGUCUUUUAUUUGGAAUUAUUCCAAGUCUAACCCACGAUAAUGUUUGACAGGGCUGCU